CGGUAGUCAGAUUCUUUGUGUGAUGCUUUCGUGGAGUGGCAGAGAGUCACUAGUGCGGUGCUUGGCUGUAGCGGUGCGCUGCUUCGCCGCGACAGCAUCGCCGUUCCUCUGUUACUCCUCCUCACAGAGAAACCGCCGUAUGCCUAGCGAUCAGCAUCGAGACAGUCUGCUAUCUCACACGGCAUCAACGGCUGCACCUGCACCAGCAGCGGUGCCGACGCAGCGAACGCGUCGUGGCGUUUUGAAACGGGCAUCGCUGCUCGAGCAGCUCCGUGACCGUAAUGAUGGUGAGAGCGGCACUGUAGAGUUGAGCAAGGCGCCAGGUAGCAGUGCCCUCGUAGCGUCUGGAGCAGCAGCGCCGCUAGCGGCCCCUGUGUCGAUUCCGUAUAUUAGCUCGUCCGAAUUCGUUAGUGUACCCCGCCCAAAGCAGCAGCAAGUGUGGUCGUCACAUGGAACGCACAGCGCCGCAGCAGCAGCGCCUCUGUCCUCGCCCACUGCCUCUGCACAGCUGGAGCGGCAGCAGCAAGCCCUACGCGACGCCUUCACACACGCGCGACAGUACCACAAUGUGCGUCUUUCCAAAGACCCCGGCGUCUACCGCGCAGAGUGCCGGGCUUUCCGCCAGGCCCACCGAGGUCGAUCGCCGACGCAGCAAGAGGUGAGUCGCACCGUCGCCGUUCCGUUGGCGCCGGUCGCCGCGCUCAAGACGCUAGCUCACACGGAUGCCACGCGGUCUUCGCUGCACGCCGCGGCCGAGGCCGCCGUGAUGCUGCACAACGCCGUGGUGAAAAAUGAGCUCGUGAAGAGCAGCACGCCGCAGCUUGUCCGCUGCCUUCGCUGCUUUCACGUGUACAUGGCCCGCCCGCGAACGUUGUGGGGAGGCGAGGUGGAGCAGAGCGGCAUCGAGUACGAAAAGGCACAGAAGGCGCAACGACUUCAGAGGCCUGCGCCUGGUAAGCGUGCGAGGAGCGUGGGCCGGCGUCGACGCGCACAUGAAGAGAACCCGAUCUGCUGUCCGAAGUGCCGCAGCCCUCGCGCGCAGUGGAUGAUGGAGUACGUGCACCGCCACACUCACGAGCGAGUGUGAGAACGGCGUACCGCUUUGUCAGUCGCCGCUGCGCGUGGGGGUGUGGGCCUCGUGCACCGUCGUCGCUCUGUAUCCCACGCCUCCACGCACUGUGUACUGGAGCAGUGCAUGCUGCCCAGCCCGUCGCUGUGGCAGCGGAGGGUGGGCCACAGUCGCCCGUCCCCCUCGCCCCCUUUCACAACCCCAUCUCUCACAAACAUCAUAGGGCACAAGGUGACGGAAGCGACCGCAGAACAGUGGGCCGCGACUCGUGUCUGCAAGGAAGCAGCGCCCAUUGUACUCCCUGUGGCGCACGCACGGCGCGCAGCCCUUUCCUCUGGUCUGUAGUCACACCACCACCACCAAUGGGGUAUCCGCGAGACGGCGCCAUUGGAUGCUCGCCACCCGAUUGCUCCGCAGCCUUCCAACUAUCAUCGCCAGAUGUACGUCCCUCGCCCCUGCACCACUCUCCAGCCCCUCUCCUCGUCCUCCAUCACCUUCCGGGCAG
RNAcentral lists this unclassified non-coding RNA (1574 nucleotides) under Leishmania donovani. Its description in RNAcentral is "gene:LdHU3.18.1200(CDS-product:hypothetical_prote in_conserved)". Lineage: Eukaryota; Euglenozoa; Kinetoplastea; Trypanosomatida; Trypanosomatidae. The record is from RNAcentral.